GGGCGAUUGGCGCAGUUGGUUAGCGCAGGUGCUUUACACGCACAAGGUUGGGGGUUCGAGUCCCUCAUCGCCCACCA
Molecule: transfer RNA, 77 nt
Filed under: Coriobacteriaceae bacterium
Lineage: Bacteria; Bacillati; Actinomycetota; Coriobacteriia; Coriobacteriales; Coriobacteriaceae
Description: tRNA-Val
Rfam family: tRNA
About the family: Transfer RNA (tRNA) molecules are approximately 80 nucleotides in length. Their secondary structure includes four short double-helical elements and three loops (D, anti-codon, and T loops). Further hydrogen bonds mediate the characteristic L-shaped molecular structure. tRNAs have two regions of fundamental functional importance: the anti-codon, which is responsible for specific mRNA codon recognition, and the 3' end, to which the tRNAs corresponding amino acid is attached (by aminoacyl-tRNA synthetases). tRNAs cope with the degeneracy of the genetic code in two manners: having more than one tRNA (with a specific anti-codon) for a particular amino acid; and 'wobble' base-pairing, i.e. permitting non-standard base-pairing at the 3rd anti-codon position.
Source: RNAcentral